Molecule: ribosomal RNA, 1274 nt
Filed under: uncultured bacterium
Lineage: Bacteria
Description: bacterial SSU rRNA
Rfam family: Bacterial small subunit ribosomal RNA
Source: RNAcentral
GGAGCUGGAACCGGGGGGGUCCUCUAGAGAUAGAGUUUGAUCCUGGCUCAGAUUGAACGCUGGCGGCAGGCCUAACACAUGCAAGUCGAGCGGCAGCACGGGAAGCUUGCUUCCUGGUGGCGAGCGGCGGACGGGUGAGUAAUGCAUAGAAAUCUGCCCGGUAGUGGGGGAUAACCUGGGGAAACCCAGGCUAAUACCGCAUACGUCCUACGGGAGAAAGCAGGGGAUCUUCGGACCUUGCGCUAUCGGAUGAGUCUAUGUCGGAUUAGCUUGUUGGUGAGGUAAUGGCUCACCAAGGCGACGAUCCGUAGCUGGUCUGAGAGGAUGAUCAGCCACAUCGGGACUGAGACACGGCCCGAACUCCUACGGGAGGCAGCAGUGGGGAAUAUUGGACAAUGGGCGAAAGCCUGAUCCAGCCAUGCCGCGUGUGUGAAGAAGGCCUUCGGGUUGUAAAGCACUUUCAGUGGGGAAGAAAGCCUUGGGGCUAAUACCCUCGAGGAAGGACAUCACCCACAGAAGAAGCACCGGCUAACUCCGUGCCAGCAGCCGCGGUAAUACGGAGGGUGCGAGCGUUAAUCGGAAUUACUGGGCGUAAAGCGCGCGUAGGCGGUCUGAUAAGCCGGUUGUGAAAGCCCCGGGCUCAACCUGGGAACGGCAUCCGGAACUGUCAGGCUAGAGUGCAGGAGAGGAAGGUAGAAUUCCCGGUGUAGCGGUGAAAUGCGUAGAGAUCGGGAGGAAUACCAGUGGCGAAGGCGGCCUUCUGGACUGACACUGACGCUGAGGUGCGAAAGCGUGGGUAGCAAACAGGAUUAGAUACCCUGGUAGUCCACGCCGUAAACGAUGUCGACUAGCCGUUGGGCUCCUUGAGAGCUUUGUGGCGCAGUUAACGCGAUAAGUCGACCGCCUGGGGAGUACGGCCGCAAGGUUAAAACUCAAAUGAAUUGACGGGGGCCCGCACAAGCGGUGGAGCAUGUGUUUAAUUCGAUGCAACGCGAGAACCUUACCUACCCUUGACAUCGUGCGAACUUUCCAGAGAUGGAUUGGUGCCUUCGGAACGCACAGAAAGGUGCUGCAUGGCUGUCGUCAGCUCGUGUUUGUGAAAUGUUUGGGUUAAGUCCGUAACGAGCGCAACCCUUGUCUUAUUUGCAGCGAGUCAUGUCCGGACUCUAGGAACUGCGGUGACAACCGAGAGGUGGGACGACGUCAGCUAUCAUGGCUAACGUAGGCUACACAUGUCCUACAAUGGCCGUCAAAGGUUGCGUAAACCCGCCAGA